GAAAUGCGAUAAGUAGUGUGAAUUGCAGAAUUCAGUGAAUCAUCGAAUCUUUGAACGCACAUUGCGCCCCUUGGUAUUCCAUGGGGCAUGCCUGUUCGAGCGUCAUUUGUACCCUCAAGCUCUGCUUGGUGUUGGGUGUUUGUCCUCGUCUCCGCGCGUGGACUCGCCCCAAAGUGAUUGGCAGCCGGCGUACUGGUCCCGGAGCGCAGCACAUGUCGCGCAAACGAGUGCCUUGGUACGGCGGCGUCCAUAAGCCCCUCUCUCACGCUCUUGACCUCGGAUCAGGUAGGGAUACCCGCUGAACUUAAGC
Molecule: unclassified non-coding RNA, 310 nt
Filed under: plant metagenome
Description: partial contains 5.8S ribosomal RNA, internal transcribed spacer 2, and large subunit ribosomal RNA
Rfam family: 5.8S ribosomal RNA (bases 1-105)
Source: RNAcentral